AAAAUCAGGGGCUCAACCCCUGACCUGCAUCCGAUACGGUCGUGCUAGAGUUUGGUAGGGGAGACCGGAAUUAAUGGUGUAGCGGUGGAAUGCGCAGAUAUCAGGAGGAACACCGAUGGCGAAGGCAGGUCUCUGGGCCAAUACUGACACUGAGGAGCGAAANGGGGAGCGAACAGGAUUAGAUACCCU
RNAcentral lists this ribosomal RNA (189 nucleotides) under uncultured actinomycete. Its description in RNAcentral is "partial 16S ribosomal RNA". It matches the Rfam family "Bacterial small subunit ribosomal RNA", at positions 597 to 788 of the family's 1533-position model. Lineage: Bacteria; Bacillati; Actinomycetota; Actinomycetes; Actinomycetales. The record is from RNAcentral.